CCUGGACCGGGAUGGGAAGAGAAGCAGCGAUAGGGACCGUCUAGGCUUCUAGAGUCCUCUAUGCCUUUAGUCUUGGGCUCAUUCCAGACACAGAUGACUCUAAUGAAUUGGACAACAAAGGCAGAUGGUUGUGUUACUGACCUCCAUGAAGAAAUGCCCAAGUUUCCAAGAAGGAAAGCUUGGACUCUGAAGAGAGGUAGAUUGCAACCUCCUCCAGCCCCCUCUCUGAGACUGGUUCCCCUCCACUGUUUCAAUCCAACAAUUCCAAGAUGGAAGGUGAGGACUUUUUAAAAAGUGAUACUGCCAAUGUUCAUUGAAGAGUAAGUCGAGCAAACCUCUCGUAAAAGAAUUAUGAGACAUUUCAAAUUUUACUCUUGGAAACUAGGCUCAAAAUUUUGGUUACAAAAGAUCCAGAGAAGUGUGUUCAGUCCAUAAAGUCCCCUUGGAACCUUUGCCUCCUCGUACUCAGCCCCUCAUAUGUAGAGACG
Molecule: long non-coding RNA, 488 nt
Filed under: Monodelphis domestica (gray short-tailed opossum)
Lineage: Eukaryota; Metazoa; Chordata; Mammalia; Didelphimorphia; Didelphidae
Description: lncRNA (ENSMODG00000038975.1)
Source: RNAcentral